GACGAACGCUGGCUGCGUGCUUAACACAUGCAAGUCGAACGGAAAGGCCCUUCUUUUUUGGGUUGCUCGAGUGGCGAACGGGUGCGUAACACUUGCGUAACCUGCCCUUGCCUCUGGGCUAACUUUAGGAAACUGGGGCUCAUACCGGUUAGUAGCUCCUGCUGCAUGGUUGGGGUUGUAACGUUUCGGCGGUUGGGGAUUGACUCGCGGCUUUUCAUCUUGUUGGUGUGGUAGUGGCUUACCAAGGCUUUGACGGGUAGCCGGCCUGAGAGGGUGACCGGCCACAGUGGGACUGAGAUACGGGCCAGAGUCGUAAGGGAGGCAGGAGUGGGGAAUAUUGCACAAUGGGCGGAAGCCUGAUGCAGCAACGCCGCGUGAGGGAUGACGGACUUCGGGUUGUAAACCGCUUUGGCCUGUGACGAAGCGUGAGUGAAGGUAAUGGGUAAAGAAGCACCGGCUAACUACGUG
RNAcentral lists this ribosomal RNA (468 nucleotides) under uncultured bacterium. RNAcentral describes it as "partial 16S ribosomal RNA". It matches the Rfam family "Bacterial small subunit ribosomal RNA", at positions 28 to 507 of the family's 1533-position model. The record is from RNAcentral.